UGGGGCGUCGACAAGCGGUAAGUCAACAGCCUUUGAAGCUGUCAUCCCUGGUUCGAAUCCAGGCGCCCCAA
RNAcentral lists this transfer RNA (71 nucleotides) under bacterium. RNAcentral's name for it is "tRNA-Gln". It matches the Rfam family "tRNA". From Rfam's summary of the family: Transfer RNA (tRNA) molecules are approximately 80 nucleotides in length. Their secondary structure includes four short double-helical elements and three loops (D, anti-codon, and T loops). Further hydrogen bonds mediate the characteristic L-shaped molecular structure. tRNAs have two regions of fundamental functional importance: the anti-codon, which is responsible for specific mRNA codon recognition, and the 3' end, to which the tRNAs corresponding amino acid is attached (by aminoacyl-tRNA synthetases). tRNAs cope with the degeneracy of the genetic code in two manners: having more than one tRNA (with a specific anti-codon) for a particular amino acid; and 'wobble' base-pairing, i.e. permitting non-standard base-pairing at the 3rd anti-codon position. RNAcentral also lists the same sequence under 1 other name. The record is from RNAcentral.